GGGGAAUCUUGCGCAAUGGGCGAAAGCCUGACGCAGCAACGCCGCGUGUGUGAUGAAGGCCUUCGGGUUGUAAAGCACUGUCAGGAGGGAAGAAAUACCGUCGGUCAAUACCCGACGGGAAUGACGGUACCUCGGAAGGUAGCACCGGCUAACUACGUGCCAGCAGCCGCGGUAAAACGUAGGAGGCAAACGUUAUCCGGAGUUACUGGGCGUAAAGCGCGUGUAGGCGGUUGGGCAAGUUCGGCGUGAAAGCUCCCGGCUAAACUGGGAGAUUGCGUUGGAAACUACCUGACUGGAGUGCGGCAGAGGAGUAGGGAAUUCCGGGUGUAGUGGUGAAAUGCGUAGAUAUCCGGAGGAACACCAGUGGCGAAGGCGCUGCUCUGGGCCGUAACUGACGCUGAGACGCGAAAGCGUGGGGAGCGA
Molecule: ribosomal RNA, 423 nt
Filed under: uncultured bacterium
Lineage: Bacteria
Description: bacterial SSU rRNA
Rfam family: Bacterial small subunit ribosomal RNA
Source: RNAcentral